AACUUUUAGCAACGGAUCACUUGGCUCUCGCAUCGAUGAAGAACGCAGCGCAAUGCGAUACGUAAUGUGAAUUGCAGAAUUCAGUGAAUCAUCGAAUCUCUGAACGCAUAUUGCGCUCUUUGGUAUUCCGAAGAGCAUGCUUGUUUGAGUAUCAGUAAACACCUCAAAGUCGUCAAUUUGUUUUGAAUGGCUUUGGACUUGAGCAAUCCCAACACCAGUCUUUACGAUCGGUGGAGGGUUGCUUGAAAUGCAGGUGCAGCUGGACAUUCUCCUGAGCUAAAAGCAUAUCUAUUUAGUCCCGUCAAACGGAUUAUUACUUUUGCUGCAGCUAACAUAAAGGGAGUUUGACCGUAUUGGCUGACUGAUGCAGGAUUUCACAAGGGUCGGCAACGAUUCUUGUAAAACUCGAUCUAAAAUCAAGUAAGACUACCCGCUGAACUUAAGCAUAUCAAUAAGCGGAGGCU
This 464-nucleotide unclassified non-coding RNA is filed under the name uncultured fungus. Its description in RNAcentral is "sequence contains ITS2". The stretch from base 1 to 154 matches the Rfam family "5.8S ribosomal RNA". The record is from RNAcentral. Lineage: Eukaryota; Fungi.